This is a long non-coding RNA of Erinaceus europaeus (western European hedgehog), 682 nucleotides long. RefSeq lists it as uncharacterized. The transcript has 5 exons. The record is from RefSeq and is a predicted model, not a curated record. Lineage: Eukaryota; Metazoa; Chordata; Mammalia; Eulipotyphla; Erinaceidae.
AGGAAUGAAGCUCACUCACAUCUAGAGACGGCGCCAGCCUGCCGGCGUUACAGGGAGCUCAGGAGCAGGAGGGCAGUGCUGUCACCUGGUUGAGUCUCACUCCACAGCCCAGGGCUGCAGACACCCCACAGACACUCAGCGGAGGGACCAAGCAGCAAGGACCUAGACAAGGUGACAGACCCCUGCUGCAUUCAGAAGUCUCUGGAAGGAAGUAGAAGUGAAGGAGGCCUCUUACCAAAGACAACACCUCAAAGUCCCAGGUGCAGAUCCAAAAAGGUCCUGAAUACCAGGAGUAUCCCUGGGAAGACCAGCCCUGAUGACAGCAGCAGAGGGCACAGCCCAGCUCUCUCUCCCUCCCUCUCUGCUCCCUCCCUCCUUCCUGGGGACAGUGUCAGGUGGCCCUGCCAAAGCACACAGAACUCGCCAGAAGACGGAGCUGUUGGGGUCCCAGAUUGGCCUGGGGAACUGGCCCCGAAUCCCCUCGCUAUGUCUGAAGGAUCAUUACGGUGGGAUACAGCCCCUUAAGCUAAGCCCGACAUCCCAUGUCCACCUCACUCAGCCCUGAGCUCCUGGGAAGCAGGCUCAGCCCAGGGCCGGUCUCCAAAUGCACCGGAUAAUUAAAACAACUUCUGCUCGGGCUACCUGCCCCCUACCCCCGUCGCCCUGGCCCUCUCUCCCAUUG